Molecule: ribosomal RNA, 253 nt
Filed under: uncultured bacterium
Lineage: Bacteria
Description: partial 16S ribosomal RNA
Rfam family: Bacterial small subunit ribosomal RNA
Source: RNAcentral
UACGUAGGGGGCAAGCGUUGUCCGGAAUUACUGGGCGUAAAGAGCUCGUAGGUGGUUUGUCGCGUUGUUCGUGAAAACUCACAGCUCAACUGUGGGCGUGCGGGCGAUACGGGCAGACUGGAGUACUGCAGGGGAGACUGGAAUUCCUGGUGUAGCGGUGGAAUGCGCAGAUAUCAGGAGGAACACCGGUGGCGAAGGCGGGUCUCUGGGCAGUAACUGACGCUGAGGAGCGAAAGCGUGGGGAGCGAACAGG